GGGGAUCCCACUUUGUCUAUAUGGCAAAUGUGAGAUGCAGUGUAUGGAGCGUCAAUCUACCUAGUAUGAGAAAUUAAUGAUUUAAGUCCUUCUUAAAUGAUGGCCAUUUACCCAUAGAGGGUGCCAGGCCCGUAUAACGUUAAUGAUUACUAGAUGAUGUUUCCAAAGAGUCGUGUUGCUUGAUAGUGCAGCACUAAGUGGGUGGUAAACUCCAUCUAAAACUAAAUAUAACCAUGAGACCGAUAGUAAACAAGUACCGUGAGGGAAAGUUGAAAAGAACUCUGAAUAGAGAGUUAAACAGUACGUGAAACUGCUUAGAGGUUAAGCCCGAUGAACCUGAAUAUCCGUUAUGGAAAAUUCAUCAUUAAAAUUGUAAUAUUUAAAUAAUAUUAUUAAGAAUAAUGUGCAUUUUUUCCAUAUAAGGACAUUGUAAUCUAUUAGCAUAUCCCAAAUUUAUCAUAAAAUAUAACUUAUAGUUUAUUCCAAUUAAAUUGCUUGCAUUUUAACACAGAAUAAAUGUUAUUAAUUUGAUAAAGUGCUGAUAGAUUUAUAUUAUUACAGAGCGUUAAUUUUUCGGAAUUAUAUAAUGGCAUAAUUAUCAUUGAUUUUUGUGUUUAUUAUAUGCUCUUGUAUGAUUAACAAUGCGAAAGAUUCAGGAUACCUUCGGGACCCGUCUUGAAACACGGACCAAGGAGUCUAACAUAUGUGCAAGUUAUUGGGAUGUAAACCUAAUAGCGUAAUUAACUUGACUAAUAAUGGGAUUAGUUUUUUAGCUAUUUAUAGCUAAUUAACACAAUCCCGGGGCGUUCUAUAUAGUUAUGUAUAAUGUAUAUUUAUAUUAUUUAUGCCUCUAACUGGAACGUACCUUGAGCAUAUAUGCUGUGACCGAAAGAUGGUGAACUAUACUUGAUCAGGUGAAGUCAGGGGAACCCUGAUGGAAGACCGAAACAGUUCUGACGUGCAAUCGAUUGUCAAAUUGAGUAGGGGCGAAGACCAUCGACCUCAGUAGCUGGUCUUCAAUUUCCUCAGGAGCUGUCUUUAAUUAUAAAAUCUA
This 1054-nucleotide non-coding RNA is filed under the name Drosophila simulans. Its description in RNAcentral is "Eukaryotic large subunit ribosomal RNA". It matches the Rfam family "Eukaryotic large subunit ribosomal RNA", at positions 112 to 1003 of the family's 3401-position model. Lineage: Eukaryota; Metazoa; Arthropoda; Insecta; Diptera; Drosophilidae. The record is from Rfam by way of RNAcentral.